Molecule: non-coding RNA, 28 nt
Filed under: Rattus norvegicus (Norway rat)
Lineage: Eukaryota; Metazoa; Chordata; Mammalia; Rodentia; Muridae
Source: RNAcentral
UCCCAAAGGAGGUUGUUCUGGGGUCCUA